Molecule: ribosomal RNA, 253 nt
Filed under: uncultured bacterium
Lineage: Bacteria
Description: partial 16S ribosomal RNA
Rfam family: Bacterial small subunit ribosomal RNA
Source: RNAcentral
GACAGAGGGUGCAAACGUUGUUCGGAAUUACUGGGCGUAAAGCGAGUGUAGGCGGUCUGAAAAGUCAGGUGUGAAAGCCCUGGGCUCAACCCAGGAAGUGCACUUGAUACUGCCAGGCUAGAGUAUCGGAGAGGUUGGUGGAAUUCUCGGUGUAGAGGUGAAAUUCGUAGAUAUCGAGAGGAACACCGGUGGCGAAGGCGGCCAACUGGACGAAUACUGACGCUGAGACUCGAAAGCGUGGGGAGCAAACAGG